AUUUGUCUGGUUAAUUCCGAUAACGAACGAGACCUUAACCUGCUAACUAGAUUCUUUCAUCUUAUGAUUGUUAUCUUCUUAGAGGGACUAUGUAACAUAAAUACAUGGAAGUUUGAGGCAAUAACAGGUCAGUGAUGCCCUUAUAUGUCCUGGGCUGCACGCGUGCUACACUGAUGUAUACAGCAAGUGCCGAGCCAGACAUGGCAUGGCAAUCUCGAAUAUGCAUCGUGAUGGGGAUAGAUCUUUGCAAUUAUAGAUCUUGAACGAGGAAUUCCUAGUAAGUGCAAGUCAUCAUCUUGCAUUGAUUAUGUCCCUGCCCUUUGUACACACCGCCCGUCGCUCCUACCGAUACCGGGUGAUCCGGUGAACCUUUUGGACCCGCAUGGGGAAGAUAAGUAAACCAUAUCACCUAGAGGAAGGAGAAGUCGUAACAAGGUUUCCGUAGGUGAACCUGCRGAAGGAUCA
Molecule: ribosomal RNA, 465 nt
Filed under: uncultured ciliate
Lineage: Eukaryota; Ciliophora
Description: SSU rRNA
Rfam family: Eukaryotic small subunit ribosomal RNA
Source: RNAcentral